This is a non-coding RNA of Odocoileus virginianus texanus, 646 nucleotides long. NCBI's taxonomy places the organism in Eukaryota, Metazoa, Chordata, Mammalia, Artiodactyla, Cervidae. The record is from RefSeq and is a predicted model, not a curated record.
GGGGAGGUAAACAAGUGCAUCAUGCCAGUCCUGGGAUGGUCCCUCUGGGUGGAGCUGCCUCGUCCUUAUAGAAGGAGUCUCCAUCACAGGGCUGUCAUUGUUGUGAUGGUCAUAGGUCUUUGGAGCCUCUGAUUCCUUAAGACCCAGGAAGGAUGUCUCACCACCAGCAUCCGCAUCCGCAUCCACAGCAUCACCAUCAGGUCAAGGAGCCCUGCCAUCCACCUCCAAAAGUGUGCACACAGAAGUCCCAUAAGCCUUGCACAUCUCAUUCAUGUCCACCUCCAGUGAGCCAGCAGAAAUGCCCUCCUGGGCCACCAUGCCCACCAUGGGAGCAGAAGAGUCCACCCAAGUGGAAGUAACAGCACCAAGAUCCAGGCUCUUCCAUUGCUCUCCCUUCGGCCAUGGUGAUGGACUGCAUCUUCCUUAAUCUCCCUCCUGAACCCACAGCUGACAGAGAAAAGGCUUGGUUCCUAAAGUUGACUCUAUGUUGAACAUAGCAACUUUCUGUUGGAAAAAGAUCAGCAGGAUCAUCGCUUGAUCUCUCUUUGCCAUGUUCCUGUCUGUAAUCCACGUUGUGAUCUCUAUCCCAUGAGCCAUUAGUGUGUCUAUUCUUUUGCUUCUCCAAUAAAGCAUAUUCAUAGCCCAU